Molecule: unclassified non-coding RNA, 158 nt
Filed under: uncultured Chaetopsina
Lineage: Eukaryota; Fungi; Ascomycota; Sordariomycetes; Hypocreales; Nectriaceae
Description: sequence contains ITS2
Source: RNAcentral
CAACCCUCACGCACCGCGUGGUUUUGGGGGACGGCAGCGGCCUCACGGUCUCGCCGCCCCCGAAUUACAGUGGCGGUCACGCCGCAGCACCCUCUGCGUAGUAGCACACCUCGCAUAGGGACGCGGCGCGUCUAGCCAUAAAACCCCAACUUUUUUGU